CCAUUAACAAGGGAAUAAGCCUCUUCCAUUAGCCUCUCCCAUCUCUGGACACAAUGUGGACCAACUGUCUCUCAAGAAUAGGCCGGGAGACCUCCGGGAAGAGACUGAUACAGUGGACAGAGCAGGCAUCAGGGACUGAGGAAGGCCGGGAAGCUGGCAAGGGCAGCGCAAAGCAGUGGAGCUUGGAAUCUAAGGCUGGAUAGAGUCCUGUGGAGCCAGCAGACAGCGUGUAAAAUGACAGGGGCUGACUCGUUGCACAGGGCAGUUCUAGCAACUUGUGGCAGGUUUGCUUGGGAGAAAAUAGGUAAAGCAAUUGGGUCAUAGAAGGGGAAUGCUGAGUAAAGAGAUCUCAGAAGUUUAGAAGCCCUGGUGCUAAUCAGAUCCGGCCUCUUCACAUUCCAAACCAAGACAGAUAGAGAGGGAAGUACAGGAAAUCAAGAAAGUUACAGAGUCCUGUGAAAUCGAGGAGUCUAAAGGAGCAACAGCUCAGAUGUUGAAAGAUCCUGGGAACAUUGAUGAGUGGCAAAAUGGAGAAUAAAAUCAGCCAGAUCCUAAAGUCACUUGGGUGGGUACAAAAUGCUUACUAUGGUAUUGGCAACUGCACCAACAAUUUGAAGAAGAAAAUGUAAAAAGAUGGAAUUAUAGUAGAUAAUAUAUAUAUAGUAGAUAAUAUAUAGUAGCUAAUUCCUAUAGUAGAUAGGAAAAAGGGAAGAAGAAGUACAGAGAAGAGAAGUGAUAAAAGAUUAGGAAGGUUAGAUUUAAAAAUAUAUAUAUUUUCCAUUUG
Molecule: long non-coding RNA, 784 nt
Filed under: Homo sapiens (human)
Lineage: Eukaryota; Metazoa; Chordata; Mammalia; Primates; Hominidae
Description: HSALNT0067425
Source: RNAcentral